GAUGAACGCUGGCGGCGUGCCUAAUACAUGCAAGUCGAGCGAACAGACGCGGCGCUUGCUCCUCUCACGUUAGCGGCGGACGGGUGAGUAACACGUGGAUCCCCUCCCUAUCAGACUGGGAUAACUUCGGGACACCGGAGCUAAUACCGUAUAAUAUAUUGAACCGCAUGGUUCAAUAGUGAAAGACGGUUUUGCUGUCUCUUCUAGAUGGUUCCGCGCUGCUUUAGCUAGUUGGGAAGGUCACGGUUUACCAAGGCAACGAUGCGUAGCCGACCUGAGAGGGGGGUCGGCCACACGGGAACGGAGACACGGUCCAGACUCCUACGGGAGGCAGCAGUAGGGAAUCUUCCGCAAUGGGCGAAAGCCUGACGGAGCAACGCCGCGUGAGUGAUGAAGGUCUUCGGAUCGUAAAACUCGGUUAUUAGGGAAGAACAAAUGUGUAAGUAACUAUGCACGUCUUGACGGUACCUAAUCAGAAAGCCACGGCUAACUACGUG
RNAcentral lists this ribosomal RNA (497 nucleotides) under uncultured bacterium. RNAcentral describes it as "partial 16S ribosomal RNA". It matches the Rfam family "Bacterial small subunit ribosomal RNA", at positions 28 to 507 of the family's 1533-position model. The record is from RNAcentral.